This 517-nucleotide ribosomal RNA is filed under the name uncultured fungus. RNAcentral describes it as "SSU rRNA". It matches the Rfam family "Eukaryotic small subunit ribosomal RNA", at positions 209 to 726 of the family's 1831-position model. Lineage: Eukaryota; Fungi. The record is from RNAcentral.
AUUAGAUAAAAAACCAAUGCCCUUCGGGGCUCCUUGGUGAUUCAUAAUAACUUAACGAAUCGCAUGGCCUUGCGCCGGCGAUGGUUCAUUCAAAUUUCUGCCCUAUCAACUUUCGAUAGUAAGAUAGUGGCUUACCAUGGUCUCAACGGGUAACGGGGAAUUAGGGUUCUAUUCCGGAGAGGGAGCCUGAGAAACGGCUACCACAUCCAAGGAAGGCAGCAGGCGCGCAAAUUACCCAAUCCCAAUUCGGGGAGCUAGUGACAAUAAAUACUGAUACGGGGCUCUUUCGGGUCUCGUAAUUGGAAUGAGUACAAUCUAAAUCCCUUAACGAGGAACAAUUGGAGGGCAAGUCUGGUGCCGGCAGCCGCGGUAAUUCCAGCUCCAAUAGCGUAUAUUAAAGUUGUUGCCGUUAAAAAGCUCGUAGUUGAACCUUGGACCUGGCUGAUCUGUCCUCCUAAUCGAGCGCACGGAUUCGGUCGGGUCUUUCCUUCUGGGGAGCCCUAUGCCCUUCACUGGG